Molecule: long non-coding RNA, 5658 nt
Filed under: Vigna radiata
Lineage: Eukaryota; Viridiplantae; Streptophyta; Magnoliopsida; Fabales; Fabaceae
Description: long non-coding RNA (VRAD_LNC003981)
Source: RNAcentral
AGCAAAGACUACUGAUUCAUUGCUAGGAAGUUGUAAACAUGACAAUGCAAGAAAACACAAAGCAGAAUCUCUUAUUAUUUAAGCAGUAAUAAGAUAAGAGAGGAUAUUGCAUGUUCUAGGCAUGGUUGUUGUCCUCCACUGGAGGAUACUUCCCAUAAGGUGGUUUCUUGUAUGGUGGCUUUUCGUAUGGUGGCUUGUAGUAAGGUGGUUUUGGCUUGUAAAUAGGAGGCUUGUAAAUUGGAGGCUUGUAAAUUGGAGGCUUGUAAUAGAUGGGAGGCUUGUAAAUGGGAGGCUUCUUGAUUGGUUUGUAAUAAGUAGCAAAACCUUGAGGAAUGAGGAUUAGGGCAGCAAGAACAAACACCAGAAAGCUUGAAAAGGAAGCCAUGUUAAAGAUUGGUGUGCAUAACAGACUGAGUAAUGUGUUCAUAUAUAUAGUAGUUAGGAGGGGUCAUUGUAGGUGUAAGGUCUAAAUCUAGGUCAUUAAUGAUUUGCUUUGUCAUAUUAUGGUAUUUGCCAAAGUUCGGUGUGAUUAUUCAAAAUUGAUUUAGAAAUUAUACAUUGAUAUACACAAAUAUUUUACAUUCAUUUAAUACUUGUUAUUUUUUACUCAAUUGUGCUAAAAAAUAUUUUUUAUAGUAAUUAAAAUCCAUGAGAUAUAAAAAAUGAAGCAGUGACACUAUUAUAGAUAUGAAAAGUUUUUUUAUUUGGAUUGGACUUAGAACUGAUGUAAAAAGUGGCUCAGUAACAAAAUUGUAAUAAAUUACAAUUUUUUUAUACCAAUUACACUCAUAAUUGAAUAGAAAGUCGAUUUUCUAUACUAGUUAGACUUAGAACCGAUAUAGAAAGUGUGGUGGUAACAAAACUAUAAUAUUAAACAAACUUUUCUAUAUUCAUUGCAAUCAGAACAAAUAUAGAAAGUUGUUUUUCUAUCCUGGUUAGUCAAUAUAACCGGGAUAUAAUAUUUAAUAUUCAUCUCCUUCUUCUUUUUGCGCUUCAAUUUCGCAAAACUCUUUUUCUUGUUCUCUCUAUGCUUCACCUUCAUUACUUUUCGCUCUCUCUGUGCUUGGCUUCCAUUCAUUCUUGGUCUCUCUACGUUUCCAAUAGUUCACUAAAGUCGCUUGUGCUAUCGUUUGUGGUUGUUGUUUUUGUCAUCGCUGUGGUCGUUGUUUGUUGUCGAUUUUUUAGUCGCGGUGGUUGUUGAAGUUAUCACUGUUGUAGGUCAAGUUGUGGUUCAUCUUUGUCAUCAAUGGUUGGUAUUGCAGUGCCUAUUUUCAUGGAGGUUGGAGUCGUUGUUGUGGUGUCAUUGUUAUCACUGCAUUUUUUCUUCCUCUUGCGUUGAAGCUUUCUUGGUUGCGUUGUUGGUGUUGUAGUAGUGUGGUGAGUAACACUAAAGCUUCCUUGUGUGGUAUGGUAGGUCGUUGCACGUGGUGUUUUUUUGAUCGUUUUGUUGUGGUUCUUGGCAAAUUUUAAACCUUAAUUUACUAUUGUUGAGGAUGUUGUGUUUUGACGUAUUUAUUGUUACAUUGCAUUCGUUGGGAGGAAAAUUUAAUAUUGUGAGGUUUUCCAUUUUUUGGAGCUUUCCAUGUUUGUGUUAUUGCAUUCAAUUGGUGUGAUUACUCUUUUGUGUUAGAAUUUAUGAGAAAAAAGUGAGGUAUAAAAAUCAAUAGGUUUGAAUCUCUACAAAUGAUGAGGCUGCAAGUGAGUAGAUUUUUGGUGGUGAUCAAAAUCACCAAAUAAGUUGUAGGCAAAAGAAAAAUGGAGAUCAAUACGAGUCCUAAUUAGAAAGACUAUUUGGGAAUGAGAUAUCAAUCUCUUAAAUACGUUGAAGUGAAGCGUAUUGAACUAAAUCCAUUGAUUAAUUCUUUAUGUUGUGGUUUGGUAUGACUAAGUUCACAUAUUGGACUCAUGUUUAACUGUUUCUUAGAUCUACCUAAAAGUAGAGGUGUUGGUUUUUACAUAUAAUAAUGGAUAGGUGUUGAAUAAAUUUUAUACGCAUAACAAAUGAAUAUGGGAGCAGAGUAGAACAAUUUCUUGAGUUUGCAAAGACAAGUGUUCUAGACAAUAACAAAAGAUUUUAUUGCUCAUGUGUUAAUUGUUUGAAUGGAUGAAAACUAUCAACUGAAGUUCUUUGGGAGCAUGUUGUUCUCCUAAAGUUACACAAAAUGGACAUGACAUAGUGAAUUAAUAGACACACCUAGUGCAUCCAGAAUGCACUAAGUAUACUUUAUUGUCAAUGGUAUCAAAACACUUUGGAGUCAUAUUAUAUGCAUUUGGAGUCAUAUAAUAUGCAUUUGCAUUCUUAAGAGAAGAUUCUCGUGAUUCUUGGAUUAUAACACUGAUUCUUAUCAAAGAUUAACAUCUUUCUGGAGAACUUUCACUCGACUUAUUAAUCUGCUAGAUUGUGGCUUCCCUAUCCUUGUCUCAUUCUGCAUUCUUCUAUGAUUUAUUCAAGAGAUAGUCCUCUAUUAUACCUUUUUUUCUUAAAAAGAAUUUUUCCUCAAAUUUGUAUAACUUAAAUAUUCCUUAUCAUUUUAAGAAGUUAGAACAACUAGAAAAUGAGGUUGUGGUCAUAUUAUGCCUAUUAGAUAUGUACUUUACACACACGCAGACAAGGACACACACACACAGACUCACAAAUACACAGUCACACACACAAACACACACACACACACAUAAACACACACACACACACAUACAUAAAUGGACAUGCGCGCGCACACACAAAGACACACACACCCAGAAACACACAUACAUAGACACACACACACCCACAAACACACAUACAUAGACACACACACACACACAAACACAAACACACAUACACACAAACAUAGACACACACACCCACAAACACACAUACACACAAACAUAGACACACACUCCCACAAACACAAACAUAAACAUACACACAAACACACACACACACACACAAACAAAUUGACAUACAGAUAGACACAUACAGACACACAAGAAGUCAUCCCAAAAGAAGUCAUCCCCUUCUUAAGUGCUCAUAAAUAUAUUGUUAAAAGAAAGAAAUAAUCCACGAAUACUUCAGAAGUUGGUUAUUAAUGAGCACAACAAAACCUUUUUAAAGUGGUUCAAACAACAUGUUCAAGCUUACCAUACAACCUCUGACACAUUAAAUUGAAUACCAAGUGAACCAAACUUUGAUGUCAUAUGUUGGAGUGGGUAUGAUAUGAAAAAUUAUACAUUUCAUACAAAGAAAAUGAAAAAAAAAACACCACUCACAAUAAUGGAGUAAUAGUUGUGGUUGAGUCAAUGCAUUUCUUGAGUUCAAAGGAUAAAAAUCCUUUUAUGGCAUCAAUGUGCUACUUUCGUGUUAUGGAAGAUAUUUGGGUGAUAGAUUACACAAGUUUCAGAGUACUUAUUUUUAAAUGGGUUGAUUGUAAUAUUGGCAUAAGGACCAAUGAUCUAAGUUUUACAUUGUGCAGAUAUUACAAUUCUUGUUGCUUUCUUGAUGCCUUGGAGAUUUCUUGAGACCUUUGAAUGUUUCUUGUUGUGUACUUGUACUUAAACUCAAUGCUUUGUUAGAAUAUUGCAAAUGAAAUUCGUAAUGAGACAGGUUUCAAUAUAGAUAUAUAUAGGAUAUGACAUUCUGGUGUAGUUUAAUUGAUUAGAUAAAAACCUUAAUCGAUUAAGCCGAAGUUUAUGUUUCAAUGACAUUAUGGUGCAGUUUAAUCGAUUAGGUAAAACCUUAAUUGAUUAGGCCAAAGUUUCUGUUUUAAUCGAUUAGGUUAUUAAUGUUAUCAAUUAAAACAGACAAUUUUGUCAUUUUUUUCUUCUUAUGAGUUCUGACAUGCUUUAACUGAUUGCUAACUAACAUAAUGGAUUAAUAGCAUCAAAAUUGCAGAUUGUAAACUGUCUAACCCAGUUACAUUCAUCUAUACAUGAUAUAUGUAUCUAACAUGAUUUUCCUAUGAUUUUAAACAUUGAUCCAUCAAGAAAGAACAUAUGAUUAAUUCAUCAUCAAAAACAUUUUACCAAAUUUAGAAGGGAAAAGCUCCCCCUUUCAACACUAACCGGUAUAAAAAGUUACUUUUUAUAUACAAAUUUAUCUCUUUCCUAAUAAACUUUUUAUAUCGGUUUCAGAUUCAGUAUAAAAAGUCAAAUACUUUCUAUACCGAUUCAAAAACUGGUAUAAAUUUUUUUUAACUCAUAUAAAAAAGCUUUUCUGAUAUAGUGACUCUUCCUUUUCUUUUUAAAAUAUAAAAGUUUAUGUUUUUAAGACUAUUUUAAUCUUAUAAUAUGUGUCAAAUGAAUAUAAAUGUAUCUUAUCCUACUAUGACUUGAUUUAGACCCUUUAGUCUUGUGUGGCAUUGUUGCAAAUCAAGAAUCUCAACAAAAUCUAUAUAUUUAUCCAUAAAGAUCUCUAAAGAAAUAUAUAAAAAAGGAAAACCCAAAAAUUAAUUUUUUUAUAAAUUACAAUAAUUUAUACGAGUUAGAAAUAAAAAAAAAAAUUGGUAACAAAGUUUUUUCAAUCAGUUUAAUCACUAAUUUCAUUUUUCGUAUUUUUUGUUUUAAAAGUUCUUGAAGAAAGAACUCGUACAAGAUUAAAUAUAUUUUUAAAAUGUAAAUUAAUUUAUGUAUACUAUACACAUAUAUACAGACUAUAUUACAUUUUGAUUUAUAUUUUAAUGAUAAAUUAAAAGUAUUAUUUUAAUUUAUUUAAAUACGACUACUAAUUUAAAUUCAAACAGAAAAAAUUAAAUAUAGUGGUGUUCCUUUCAAAUUAAAUUGAAACAUUCGAAACUUUUAAAUAUUAUUAAAAAUAAAAUAAUAUAUACGUUAAAAGAAGUUCUAUGAAUGUUUCUAAUCCAUAGAAUUUUAUAUGGUUUAUGAGUUGUUUUUAUCUUGUGAAUUUUUUUAAUAAAGGAUUUAUUUCAGCUGUCAGUUUUUUUAAUCCAAAUUCAUAUGGUGAAAUCCUAUAAAAUAAUACUAUAAAAUGCACUAAGACGUAUCUAAUUAACCAUAAACAUAAAGGUCUUUUUAUUCAUAAUUUUGUAGUACAAUUAAGAAGCAUAUUUUUUAUUUGAUUUACAUUCACAUAGACAUAAGUCUGAUGGUCUUGUCUUGAACACAACAUCAUAACUUACACAAAGCAUUGAAGUGAGCAAAGAAUACUGAUUCAUUCAUUGCUAGGAAGUUGUAAACAUGACAAUGCAAGAAAACACAAAGCAGAUUCUCUUAUUAUUUAAGCAGUAGUAAGAUAAGAGAGGAUGUUGUUGCAUGUUCUAGGCAUGGUUGUUGUCUUCCACUGGAGGGUACUUUCCAUAAGGUGGUUUCUUCUUGUAUGGUGGCUUUUUGUAUGGUGGUUUGUAGAAAGGUGGUUUUGGCUUGUAAAUGGGAUGCUUAUAAAUAGGAGGCUUGUAAAUUGGAUGCUUCUUGAUUGGUUUGUAAUAAGUAGCAAAACCUUGAGGAAUGAGAAUUAGGGCAGCAAGAAGUAACACCAGAAAGCUUGAAAAGGAAGCCAUUUUUAGGGUUGGUGUGUUAGCAGACUGAGUAAUAUGUUAGUAUAUAUAGUAGUAAGGAAGUUCAAUGUAUUAUGUAGGUGUAAUGUCUCAAUCUAGGUCAUUAAUGAUUUGCUUUGUCACACUUUGAUAUUUGCCAAAGUUUGGUGUGAUUAUUCAUCAUUGAUUU